Molecule: long non-coding RNA, 1080 nt
Filed under: Lynx canadensis (Canada lynx)
Lineage: Eukaryota; Metazoa; Chordata; Mammalia; Carnivora; Felidae
Description: lncRNA (ENSLCNG00005003144.1)
Source: RNAcentral
GGUCGGGAUGGACCAGGUGGCCCAGCAACCCUGAGUCUCCCACCCACCCACCCAGCUAGGGCUAAGGGGAGGGGGGCAGCAUGCCUGACUGCCUCUUAGAGGCGGGAGUCUCUGCCCCCCAUACUUCUACCAGGCUGCCCACAGGAAAAGCUGGGGCUUGAUGGAGGGCCCUGUGUCCAAGGCCUGUUCCUGCCCCUCUGUGCUCUCAGUCCUAGGCUGGAGCCAGCACCCUCUGUCUGCUGCCAACCCCAGUGGGCCUGCUGUUUGUUUUCAGACGUGGUCCCCAGAGCACAUUUCCGGCUGUGCCCGGAGGUGAGAGGCCUGGGUGGUUCUUUCCCAGCCAGCAGAACAAUGGCCAUCCUGAAUGACCCUUGGAGUGGGCGUUUGGGUGCGUCUGAGGAGGUGUCUGGGCAAGGGGCCCUUAGGCAGCCAGAGGAGGAUGGAAGUUGCCUCUAUGCUAGCACCCAUUAAGAGGACCUACUGUGAGUUGGGGCAGGGAAGGGGAGGGGCAGAGAAGGUGGAACAGCAAGCCCCUCCCCCCACUUGGGGUGGCUCCCUGCCACUGCCCACCACUUCUUCUCCAUGACAGAGUCAUAGAAGCAUUGACAGCCAGAGCUCCCUGGGCCCCUGGUCUGAGUCUCAGGCACUACUUCAUAAACCAAGCAGUGUCUCUACAGCCUGACUUCUCUUCCCCAGACCCCAAGCUGCCAGGCCAGAUUUCCUGGGAUGCCCAGACCUCUGAUGGGAGUCCCCCUCUCCACCAUCAGGGGCUGCAAGCUGAUGGAGAGGAUUCACCCACCCCCCCUGAUGAACAGGAGAUGAGGCAACAGCAGCUGUGGCCCCCUGCCCACUUCCCACUGCCCGGCCCCUGCCCACUUUUGCCAUGGGUACCACUGGUGGGCCCGUUCCCUGGAUUCCCUGUCCUAAUGAAGCCUUUCACUUUCCCCACUGGAUUUUUAUUAAGGAAACUCUUGGUUCCUCAAUGCAGCCUUUUAAAAGAUCAUUCUCCCCAUGUGGAGGACAAUAAGAAAGAAGUUAAUUUAAAAAAAAAAAAAAAAGAUCAUUCUUCACCGAGGAUGG